RNAcentral lists this ribosomal RNA (1509 nucleotides) under uncultured Bordetella sp. Its description in RNAcentral is "partial 16S-23S ribosomal RNA intergenic spacer". It matches the Rfam family "Bacterial small subunit ribosomal RNA". The record is from RNAcentral. Lineage: Bacteria; Pseudomonadati; Pseudomonadota; Betaproteobacteria; Burkholderiales; Alcaligenaceae.
GGUUUGAUUAUGGCUCAGAUUGAACGCUGGCGGGAUGCUUUACACAUGCAAGUCGAACGGCAGCACGGACUUCGGUCUGGUGGCGAGUGGCGAACGGGUGAGUAAUGUAUCGGAACGCCUUUAGUAGCGGGAUAACUACGCGAAAGCGUAGCUAAUACCGCAUACGCCCUUCGGGGGAAAGCGGGGACCUUCGGGCCUCGCACUAUUAGAGCGGCCGAUAUCGGAUUAGCUAGUUGCGGGGGUGUUCACCAUGACGAUCCGUAGCUGGUUUGAGAGGACGACCAGCCACACUGGGAUCACGACACGGCCCAGACCUUCCUACGGGAGGCAGCAGUGGGAAUUUUGGACAAUGGGGAAACUCUGAUCCAGCCAUCCUGCGUGUGCGAUGAAGGCCUUCGGGUUGUAAAGCACUUUUGGCAGGAGGUGCUAAAACGGCACGGGAUAAUACCCCGUGCAACUGACGGUACCUGCAGAAUAAGCACCGGUUAACCACGUGCCAGCAGCCGCGGCAAUACGUAGGGUGCAAGCGUUAAUCGGAAUUACUUGCUAAAGCGUGCGCAGGCGGUUCGGAAAGAAAGAUGUGAAAUCCCAGAGCUUAACUUUUGGAACUGCAUUUUUAACUACCGAGCUAGAGUGUGUCAGAGGAGGUGGAAUUCGCGUGUAGCAGUGAAAUGCGUAGAUAUGCGGAGGAACACCGAUGGCGAAGGCAGCCUCCUGGGAUAACACUGACGCUCAUGCACGAAAGCGUGGGAGCAAACAGGAUUAGAUACUCCUGGUAGUCCACGCCCUAAACGAUGUCAACUAGCUGUUGGGGCCUUCGGGCCUUGGUAGCGCAGCUAACGCGUGAAGCUGACCGCCUGGGGAGUAAGUACGGUCGCAAGAUUAAAACUCAAAGGAAUUGACGGGGACCCGCACAAGCGGUGGAUGAUGUGGAUUAAUCUGAUGCAACGCGAAAAACCUUACCUACCCUUGAUACGUCUGAACCGAAGAGAUUUGGGAGUGCUCGCAAGAGGAACACAGGUGCUGGGCAUGGCUGUCGUCAGCUCGUGUCGUGAGAUGUUGGGUUAAGUCCCGCAACGAGCGCAACCCUUGUCAUUAGUUGCUACGAAAGGGCACUCUAUCAAAGAGAUAUACGUCAAAAGACCGACAAAACCACUCACUCCCUGCCGGUGACAAACCGGAGGAAGGUGGGGAUGACGUCAAGUCCUCUCGCGGCCCUUAUGGGGUAGGGCUUCACACGUCAUACAAUGGUCGAUGAGGGUCACAACCCGCGAGGGAGCCAAUCCCAGAAACCCGAUCGUAGUCCGACUGCAGUCUGCAACUCGACUGCGUGAAGCCUGGAAUCGCCAGUAAUCGCGGAUCAGCAUGUCGCGGUGAAUACGUUCCCGGGUCUUGUACACACCGCCCGUCACGACCAUGGGAGUGGGUUUUACCAGAAGUAGUUAGCCUAACCGUAAGGAGGGCGAUUACCACGGUAGAUUCAUGAUCAGUGAAGUCGUAACAAGGUAG